CGUGUAGGCGGCCGGCCAAGUCGGAUGUGAAAGCCCUCGGCUUAACCGAGGAAGUGCGUUCGAUACUAGCUGGCUUGAGUACCGGAGAGGGUGGUGGAAUUCCCAGUGUAGAGGUGAAAUUCGUAGAUAUCGGGAGGAACACCAGCGGCGAAGGCGACCACCUGGACGGAUACUGACGCUGAGACGCGAAAGCGUGGGGAGCAAACA
Molecule: ribosomal RNA, 207 nt
Filed under: uncultured delta proteobacterium
Lineage: Bacteria; Deltaproteobacteria
Description: partial 16S ribosomal RNA
Rfam family: Bacterial small subunit ribosomal RNA
Source: RNAcentral